RNAcentral lists this RNase P RNA (381 nucleotides) under Candidatus Nitronauta litoralis. RNAcentral's name for it is "RNase P RNA component class A". It matches the Rfam family "Bacterial RNase P class A". Rfam says of the family: Ribonuclease P (RNase P) is a ubiquitous endoribonuclease, found in archaea, bacteria and eukarya as well as chloroplasts and mitochondria. Its best characterised activity is the generation of mature 5'-ends of tRNAs by cleaving the 5'-leader elements of precursor-tRNAs. The record is from RNAcentral. Lineage: Bacteria; Pseudomonadati; Nitrospinota; Nitrospinia; Nitrospinales; Nitrospinaceae.
GAAGUAAACCGGGUGGCCGCCGCCCAGGCAACUUUGUCUGGGGGGAGGAAAGUCCGGGCUCCAAAGGGCAGGAUACUCCGUAACGCGGAGCGGGGGCGACCUUAGGGAAAGUGCCACAGAAAAGACACAGCCUACCCGGCGCGCAAGCGCAGGCGGCAAUGGUGAAAAGGUGGGGUAAGAGCCCACCAGUACCGCGGGUGACCGGGGUAGCUUGGUAAACCCUAUCCGGUGCAAGGUCGAAUAGGAAAGCGAUUGAGGGCGGCCCGUCCGAUGCUUUCGGGUUGACCGCUUGAGCCGUCCGGCAACGGCCGGCCUAGAUUGAUGGUCACCACUUCGGGGCAACCCGGAGGACAGAACCCGGCUUACAGGUUCACUUCGCGC